UAAUAAAUAAUUUUAAAUAAAAAAAUUUAAAAUACAAUAAAAGUGUACGGAAGAAAUACCAUUCAUCACUUGUAUCCAAUAUAAGCAAUUGGAUUGGAGAGAUUAAUUAACUUUGAAAAGUAUAGAGCUAAUAUUGAGUGUGACUACACAUAUAUGUGAUGUCUUACCAAAUAAAUUAGUUGUCAUGAAUUUGCAGUAUUUUG
Molecule: unclassified non-coding RNA, 203 nt
Filed under: Hevea brasiliensis (rubber tree)
Lineage: Eukaryota; Viridiplantae; Streptophyta; Magnoliopsida; Malpighiales; Euphorbiaceae
Source: RNAcentral